GGCGCCCUUGUUAGCAA
Molecule: transfer RNA, 17 nt
Filed under: Entamoeba moshkovskii
Lineage: Eukaryota; Evosea; Mastigamoebida; Endamoebidae
Description: partial tRNA-Arg
Source: RNAcentral